This is a long non-coding RNA of Contarinia nasturtii (swede midge), 438 nucleotides long. RefSeq lists it as uncharacterized. The transcript is spliced from 2 exons. The record is from RefSeq and is a predicted model, not a curated record. NCBI's taxonomy places the organism in Eukaryota, Metazoa, Arthropoda, Insecta, Diptera, Cecidomyiidae.
AUUAUUAUUACGAAACGUUUCAGUUGUGAUGCUGAAGAUGAGACGCAUGGAUGUCUCGAAAUGCAUUCAAAUUUUCAUCACUCAGAAAAUUUCGCAAAUAAUAAUUUGUUACUCGCUGGAAAACUGAGCCUAAAUAACCGAAAAUAUAUUAAUUGCCGUCAAGGAAGGAACAUUAUUGUUCAAAUAACUGCAGCAAUGCGAACAGGACAAAUAAGUUCUGCGGUUUUAAAUCGUGUUAUAAAUGGACAACAAGGAAAUUUAGUAUCUCGUCUACAGCAAGCACUGCGAAAUGGAGAAAUAAGUCAACUAGCCUUCAAUAUGAUUAUGAAUCCACCACCACAGCUAGAAGAAGGAGGCGAUCAAAAUUAUUAAUUUCAAAUAUACCGCCGAAAAUGAUAAUUUUACAUCAAUAAAGUUGCGAUAUUCUUGCGUUUUGAU